RNAcentral lists this long non-coding RNA (1520 nucleotides) under Anas platyrhynchos (mallard). RNAcentral's name for it is "lncRNA (ENSAPLG00020014171.1)". The record is from RNAcentral. Lineage: Eukaryota; Metazoa; Chordata; Aves; Anseriformes; Anatidae.
GGCGCCCGCCACUAGGCCCGGGCCUACCGUCAGCCCGGGCCCGGGACGCUCGGGCUCGGCGGCCGCCGCCCGGCGGGAGGCCAUGGGCACGGCGGGGGCCAGGUGUCUCAGGGAAGCUGCCCCUUUGUGCUGGGGGAGUUAAGCGGCACCCAGGAACAAGCGGAUUAUCGACCUGCGGGGUGGAUGGCAGCGCCCUUAGCGAUGUCCCUUCCUUCCUGGAAACUCAGCGAAGAGUUAGCGUUCCCAGGCUGUUGGAGCUCUUCCACGUUAAGGGAUGAUAUUUGCUAUGUGCCCUGCGCCUGCCUUUGCUGCUGUUCCUGUAAAAAAGCAGUGUUUUUUCUGGAGGGAAAGAAGCCAGAUAACUUUGCACCCCACGCUCUGAAUUGGUCUUCACCCUUUUUAAAAAAAAAAACGUUCCUCCAUGUCUCAGGCAUGUAACGUGUACCCUGUUUGACCCGUGCUGUCCUUUCUCUGUGUAGUUUGCUUUUUGCAUAUUCCCAACUAAGAAUACAGGGCCAAAUUAAACACUGUUUUUUGGUUUGUUUUUUAAGAUUCAUGCAAGAUUUGCAUUCAGCACCGUAUUGUCUUGUUCACUUUGCUGUGAUUUGAAUGGUUUUGUCCUUUUCAGGCUGUUAGUGCUGAGUAACUGGAGUCUUCCCCCGACAGAGCAAAUCCAGUGGAGCGAGGGGGGCAGAGUUCAGGUGUCAGUGCUCUUGAAAUUCCCAUCAUAGCAAAGGCGUUAUCAUCUUGCAGUGAUUAUGGGAACCCUUCGCAGUGGUUCCUAGCAUUUAGAUCUUGGUGGUUGGUUCUGUGUUCCCCCGGGCUGGUUAGCUGCAGGUUCCUCACAGAGAUGCUUCUGUCUUACAGAGCACAGCGAGGUGAGGCUGGCUGACCCUUGAAAGCAUUGUACGGUCUGCAAUGGCAGUGGUGGUCCUCCAAACUUACAGAAAACACCCCUGCCUUUGUGGCAGCGCGCCUGGAGAGCUUUGCUAGCAGCUGAGGAAGAGAAUUAAGCAUUAAGCUUGGUUUUAAUGGUCUCGGUCUAAGAUCUCAGACUGUUCCUCUGCAGUCAGUUAGGUAACUAUUUAUGGAGACCAGAACCUGUUCCAAAGUUUAUUUUGAUUCUGUUUUUUUAUGGUUUGGUUUUGUUUCUUGUAAUGGAACAUUACUCUUUCUUUAAGAACUGCUAAAAGCAAGCUGGUAAAAAUGAGACCUCUUUUUUUUUUUUCCCCUGAAAUCAUUGGAGUCAAUCACAGUAGAAUAAGCAAGACUGGAGGUACGUGGCCAUCCCCUUAUGAUCUUUGCGAUGGGAAUGUGGUUGAGAACAAAGUCAGCGUGCGCCCAGGGGAGGACACUCGAUAUUUCAGCCUGUGAGUGUUUUCAGUGCGUGCGGUGGAGCCUUUUGCUGACAUCCUUUGAUUUGUAGGCUUACAGAUGCAAAAUAGGGAAGCUUGUGUCUGAAGCCCUAAGCUAAAGCAAAACCAGAAAUUAUCUCAUUAUCAAGCAUUACAGAUAAUGCA